RNAcentral lists this long non-coding RNA (679 nucleotides) under Lotus japonicus. Its description in RNAcentral is "long non-coding RNA (LJAP_LNC000157)". The record is from RNAcentral. Lineage: Eukaryota; Viridiplantae; Streptophyta; Magnoliopsida; Fabales; Fabaceae.
CCAGAUGGGGAAGGUCUCCUAUGUACCAUUUAAUGGAAGGCAUGGAUUCUCAUAAAUGGUAAGUGAUUUUAGGUGUACAUUGCUUGAAUGGAUCUUGUAGCCGUGCUCUUGUAUUGCUCAGUUAAAUAACAGAUUUGUUCAACUAAAAUGAAGUAUAGAUGGCCGUUUUUUGUACUCUAAGUGAUGGUGUUGCAACACUCUCUUUUGGUGUAGGAUAUUGGUUUUUUUGAUUGAUGCAAACUCUUGAGCUCCCAUUAGAAUGGCUUUUGCUUCCUGGUUCCUUUUUCACAAGUCUACCUCUGCUGGUUAUUUCCUGGAGGUACAGAUUUUGUAUUAAGAAUUUGGUGGAAGGUUUGGUCUUGAUUUUGGAAGGCUUACCAAUUGGGUUUGGGUUGAGUAUUAGUUUUCUUUGUAAACACCCUUGAAAAUUCCUCUUGACUUUUCAAAAUAGGUACUCUUUUUCCUUGCUAGGUUUUCCCAAGGGGGUUUUAUCCUAGAAAGGUUUUAAUGAGGCAUGUUUUGUUAAGUCUAUUUUCAAGGGGGUAUUAGGUGGGUAGUUUUCUUCUUUUAUAGGGUUUUGGUAUUUGUACAUGUAAGUAUCUGAUUAUUUAAUUUAUUAUAUGUAAAAUGUUAAAGAUGAACUUAUUAUGUAUUCAUUGGUUUCGUUGUUAACUUAAAG